Molecule: non-coding RNA, 869 nt
Filed under: Trichomonas vaginalis G3
Lineage: Eukaryota; Parabasalia; Trichomonadida; Trichomonadidae
Description: Eukaryotic large subunit ribosomal RNA
Rfam family: Eukaryotic large subunit ribosomal RNA
Source: Rfam by way of RNAcentral
GGACGGUCACUAGAUAUCCCAGCGGGGAAAGAAGACCCUGUAGAGCUUCACUUUGGUCUAGUCUUGUAUAGUUCCUGCGGGGGUGUAGACUAGGUGGGAGAGCAAUCGAUUCUGAAAAACCACUACCCUGUUUGGAAUUAUGCUUACCUAUCACAAGGAAUAGGACUAGAUAGAAAGUUUGGCUGGGGCGGCACACCUUCGAAAGAGCAGCGAAGGUGUCCUAAGUUGAGCUCAGUGAGGACAGAAAUCUCACGUUGAGGAUAAGGCCAAAAGCUCAAUUUACUGUGCCUUUUUGUACUAGGAUCAGUUACGAAAGUAAGGCCUAACGAUCCCUAAAUAGCCUCAGGUGCGUGAGGAUUGGGGUGACAGACAAGUUACCUCCGGGACAACUGGCUUGUGGCUGCUAAGAGAUCAAAUCAACGCAGCUUUUUGAUUCUUCGAUGUCGGCUCUUCCUAUCCUAGUGAUGUACAAGUUGCUAAGGGUCGGAUUGUUCACCCGUAUUAGGGAUCGUGAGCUGGGUUUAGACCGUCGUGAGCCAGGUUUGUUUUAUCCUACUGGAUAUAGCAUCAUGAUAGUAGAUUGAUUUAGUACGAGAGGAACUGUUGAUUAUGGCCUCUGGUUAGCGAUUAUCGGAAACGGUAUGUCGCGCAGCUACGCCGUCUGGGAUAAUGGCUGAAAGCCUCUUAAGCCAGAAGCCCAUCUAGAAAGUGAUGCACGUGAUGUUGGACCGAUACGAAUAAUCAUACUCAAAAGGUCCGCUUCAUAGGUAACCCAAUGUAGAAGACAUUGUGUGAACGAAGGUACUGUAAGCAGUGGAGUGGCAUUACGUCCACGACCUGUUGAGGUUCAGCUUCGCUUCUAGGUUUCC